Mustela erminea (ermine) is the source of this 2218-nucleotide long non-coding RNA. RefSeq lists it as uncharacterized. The transcript is spliced from 3 exons. The record is from RefSeq and is a predicted model, not a curated record. Lineage: Eukaryota; Metazoa; Chordata; Mammalia; Carnivora; Mustelidae.
CCCACUUCCCGGUACCCCGCCAAGAGAAACGUCGGAGCCGCCCGUGUAACUCUCCGUGUCCCAGCAGGCCCGCGUUUAAGAAGUUGGAAGAAACAGAGGCACCGUUUUCAACGAUACACCUGGCGUAUUACUGUUUUGGCGCGUGAAGCCCCUCGGGGUACUUUGCGUUCUGUUUCGCUCCCUGAGACUUUGAUGUUGGUAUGUCUCGCACACACAGGGCAUGUCUCCUUUCCAAUGCCCCCGUCCCGGGUGCUCCGUGAGCGCCCGUGGCCAGUGGCCCCUGGACGGGGUGUGCGCGGCUCCAGACCCGGCCAGCAUGCCCGCCCCGCGAGGGCCUCCUGCUCGCACGUGUGCAGGCACGUGCUUUCUGCCCCAAGUCCACACCCUGUUCCACGUGAGGGGCACCUGGCGAACUCCUACUUGUCCUCGGGACCCGCUCGCCUGUCACGGCCCCUGGGAGGCCUCCUCUGGGUUCCGCAGGCGGAGCUUCCCCACCCCCAUCCAGUUGCCCCUCCCUCACCCCCUCAGUAUUUAUCGCGAGUUUCUGUAGAGCCAGGCACCCCGUGAGGGCCUGGGGGUGCAAAUGUGAGCCAGGCAUCGUCAUGUGUGUGGGAGGAAACAGACACCCCCGCCCCACUUGCCACGCUGCUCCAGACCGACGUGCCCGCUCGCCCGUUUACCAUGACCUUGACUCUGAACCCAGCGGGAAGGUACUGACUGAGUGGAAAACUGUGUCCUAGCACCGUGGACAGUUCCUGGCCCAGUGCACGGGGCUGAACUGACCUGUGUGCGCCCCAGGAAAGGACUUUGCGACAAAAUUGGCAUUAAGUAACACGCCAGCCCCUUGCAGCUGCUCCCGGGUAAACUGUCACUCGCUUUAUCAUCUACCAAACGGCAAAGGGUUUCAGCUGCGAAGCAGGCCAGCCUGACCGUCAAACUCCGGAGUCUGCUCUGAAAAUAAAUCGCAGCUGUGGGACACAUGAGCCGUGGAACACGAGGAAAUGAGAAAACACAUUUCCAUGAUCCGCUGUCAGGACCCCGAGAGACGACGGCUGCACGUUUGUUUCUCUGGGUGCCCUCUGGAAUGUCCCUCUGCAGCAAACAAACCCCCACACCCUUAGCUUCUUUGAGAAGUUCCCUGAACCCCAAGUCAGCAGACCAGCCGGACCGACCGCUUCCAGGCUGCUUGUCCCCCAGAGGGAAGGCGGACGUGCGCUCCCACAGCCCAGACGGCCUGUGGUCCGAGGCGGGUCUGCACCUCCCUCCGGCCCCAGAGGCCCCCCACAGGGCGCUCCUGGCGUACGACCCGCAGCUCCUCAGCCCCUGCGUCCGCCCUGUGCACCUGCUGCGUCUCGGUCAUCCCACCCGCGGGUGACUCUUCCUCCGUGUCGGACGCCAGCUUGUCCCCCGGCUUUCUCUUCCCUUCCAGAGCUGCCAUCAUCAGACUCGGUCCCAGCACCCCCGUGGAGGCCCUCAGCAUCCCCACUCAGGGCUCGCCCUCCUCCACGGCGGCGCCUCUCCUGGCACGAUGCUGUGGAGCGUGAGGCGUCUACAACCGCGCUGUCCAAGAUCCUGUGGUCGAGCACACGGGCCGUGCCCCCACUCUGGUCCCCGCUUCCAGUGUCGGAACCCUCAACCCCGAUCGGCUUCCGUCCCUGCGAAAGUGCUGAGCUUCCCUCCGGUGUGGAUCCGUCCUCGGCGCCAGCAGCGCCCAGGGACCCGGCAGCCAGCUCUGGCCCAGACGCCCCAGCCAGCUUCCUGCACAGCCACGGCGGAAGCUGAUGCUUUCCCGGGUUAGUGCAUGAAGGGGGACCAUCGGCGAGUGAACGGCAGGGCCCACACGUGAGGUAUCCGAUUCUAGAAGGAAGCGGCAGCCAGGAAGGAGGCGCAGCCCCGGCGCAAGUGGGUCUGGGGGAAAGGCCAGCGGUGCCCCGUUCUCUCAGCUGCAAGACAGGACCGGACCCGCCUGCGCUGACGGUAACGCGCGGCGCCGAAGAUGGACACACAGACGCCCCACUUGCUGCCCGCACGAAUGUGAGAAGCAGUCGGUGGCUCCAGGCGGCAGCUCUGUGAGCCCCAAGAUGAGGGCGGCGCCCCGGACUGGAGAGCCACAGGGAGGGAGGCUCCCCUGCAGCUGGCCCAGCCCUGGCCUCCGGCUCCUCUGAGUGAAUAGAACAUUCUGGAAGGUUUUUGCCUGUGUCAGGUGAAAAGGUUGAAG